GCCCGCGUAGCCCAACUGGCAGAGGCGUCCGGCUUAGACCCGGAUCAGUGUAAGUUCGAAUCUUGCCGCGGGUACCA
RNAcentral lists this transfer RNA (77 nucleotides) under Gammaproteobacteria bacterium. RNAcentral describes it as "tRNA-Leu". It matches the Rfam family "tRNA". Rfam says of the family: Transfer RNA (tRNA) molecules are approximately 80 nucleotides in length. Their secondary structure includes four short double-helical elements and three loops (D, anti-codon, and T loops). Further hydrogen bonds mediate the characteristic L-shaped molecular structure. tRNAs have two regions of fundamental functional importance: the anti-codon, which is responsible for specific mRNA codon recognition, and the 3' end, to which the tRNAs corresponding amino acid is attached (by aminoacyl-tRNA synthetases). tRNAs cope with the degeneracy of the genetic code in two manners: having more than one tRNA (with a specific anti-codon) for a particular amino acid; and 'wobble' base-pairing, i.e. permitting non-standard base-pairing at the 3rd anti-codon position. The record is from RNAcentral. Lineage: Bacteria; Pseudomonadati; Pseudomonadota; Gammaproteobacteria.